GCGGGGAUGCCGGAGUGGCCAAACGGGGCAGGCUUAGGACCUGCUGGCUUAGUGCCUGCGUGGGUUCGAAUCCUACUCCCCGCA
RNAcentral lists this transfer RNA (84 nucleotides) under Candidatus Woesearchaeota archaeon. RNAcentral's name for it is "tRNA-Leu". It matches the Rfam family "tRNA". From Rfam's summary of the family: Transfer RNA (tRNA) molecules are approximately 80 nucleotides in length. The record is from RNAcentral. Lineage: Archaea; Nanobdellati; Candidatus Woesearchaeota.